This 1216-nucleotide long non-coding RNA is filed under the name Panax ginseng (ginseng). Its description in RNAcentral is "long non-coding RNA (PGIN_LNC016034)". Lineage: Eukaryota; Viridiplantae; Streptophyta; Magnoliopsida; Apiales; Araliaceae. The record is from RNAcentral.
UCAAACAUUACACAUGAUAAAAUUUUACAUCAUUGUUACUUAUGCAUGUACAAAAUAUCAAACCAAAACUAAGAAUCUUCUCAAAUAAUCAGAACUUUUGGGUAUUACCAAAUGCAAUCACCAAAGCAAUUGAUUUUACAAUCUACAUCCCAAAGAAAUAACAAACACCUAUUCAAUAAUGUUACAAUAACUAGUGGAUAUCAAGAAUACUCAGCAUUAACAUGUCUCAUGGGUAAACAAAUGACAAUGCAGUACUGCUUGCUAUUUCCAUUUCUUUCAAGUGUCCGGGAGGCUACAACAGAAGAAAAAGGAAACCUAAUUAAGCCUGUGCUGACAACUCAGUCGCCAAACUAGUACUCAAUCCCCACUUGACAUUGGAUUGGCCAGUAACAGGCUUAAAUGGGAUCAGUAACUCGCCAAACCUAAUUGGCCAGUAACCCCAGCUUGACAUUGAAUUGACAUUUAUCAAUGGGAUCCCGAAUGAUUUCCACACAUAGCAUGCCAUGAUGUGAGAUACUACAUCUGUAAAUGGAAAAUAACAAAAUUUGUAAACUGUAAUGUAAAGAAUAGACAGGAAGGUGGACAACUGUAGUUAUGUCAUAAAUCUGGAACAAGCAGCUCAUUACAAAUAACUUGGGCAGAUUGAUAAUAACAGAAAAACUAAAGAAAACAGACAGCACAAAUUCACAAUAUUAGUAGCUUAACCUUACCAAUAAGUACCUAGUCAGGCUGCAAACCAUAGAAUGGGUUCAGCCCACAUUAUCUAUUUUCAAAAUCUUAAAAGGUUUAUAUACAAAUGCAUCAAGCAAAUUUACCUAGUUCCAAAAAAGACAUGGAAAUUCCAUUCGUUUUUGUUCUUUUCCAUAUUAGUGAAUUGGCAUUGUCACUUAGGUGGCUCAACUUGUAAUAUAACUUAGGAGCAAGAUGCAAUCAUCACACAAAAUAAGUCAAUGAUUAAUAACACCUACAGAAGUACAGAAGCCCAGAUAACAUUAAUUAACAAGCUCCUGAACGCAAAAUAAAACUUCUAAAGACUAUAACUAAAUAAAUUCCAAAUUGCAGGCCCUUACCAAUCCCUUACAAUACGAACAUUAUUAUUAAAAAGGAGGGACACUUGUUGCAUAAUAUGUCCUGCUAUUUUAUUGUAGAAGAUAGAGGACAAUAGGAAUGUACAUCUAAGAUAAGGUUUUUAAAAGCCAAGGGGCCUUGGUCCAUG